UCAGAUUGAACGCUGGCGGCAGGCUUAAUACAUGCAAGUCGAACGGUAGCAGCAGGAAGGCUUGCCUUCUGGCUGACGAGUGGCGGACGGGUGAGUAAUACCUGGGAAACUGCCUACAAGAGGGGGACAACACCUGGAAACGGGUGCUAAUACCGCAUAAGCCCUGAGGGGAAAAGGAUGGGAAACCAUGCGCUUGUAGAUGUGCCCAGGAGGGAUUAGCUUGUUGGGGAGGCAAAGGCUCACCAAGGCGACGAUCUCUAGCUGGUCUGAGAGGAUGAUCAGCCACAUUGGGACUGAGACACGGCCCAAACUCCUACGGGAGGCAGCAGUAGGGAAUAUUGCACAAUGGGGGAAACCCUGAUGCAGCCAUGCCGCGUGUGUGAAGAAAGGCCUUCGGGUUGUAAAGCACUUUCAGCGGGGAGGAAGGCGCGAGCUCCAACAGGGCCUGGCGUCAGACGUUACCCGCAGAAGAAGCGCCGGCUAACUCCGUGCCAGCAGCCGC
Molecule: ribosomal RNA, 502 nt
Filed under: uncultured bacterium
Lineage: Bacteria
Description: bacterial SSU rRNA
Rfam family: Bacterial small subunit ribosomal RNA
Source: RNAcentral